AACGCACAUUGCGCCCAUUGGUAUUCCUUUGGGCAUGUCUGUUUGAGCGUCAUUACAACCCCUCAGCGCAAGCUGGUAUUGAGUCAAGCAGCUCAGAAACCUUCCGGUUUACUUGGGUUCUUGCUUUAAAGUUGUACGCUCUGCUGGCUGCUUGUCUGACCAAAAACAUAGUAAAAUCUACAUUGUUUUACAAUCGGAUACCGCACGCUCGGCCUGAACAAAACCAUUUUUUCUUAGGUUUGACCUCAGAUCAGACAAGGAUACCCGCUGAACUUAA
This 277-nucleotide unclassified non-coding RNA is filed under the name uncultured Orbiliales. RNAcentral's name for it is "sequence contains 5.8S rRNA gene, ITS2, 28S rRNA gene". Lineage: Eukaryota; Fungi; Ascomycota; Orbiliomycetes; Orbiliales. The record is from RNAcentral.